GAUGAACGCUGGCGGCGUGCCUAAUACAUGCAAGUCGAGCGAACGGACGAGAAGCUUGCUUCUCUGAUGUUAGCGGCGGACGGGUGAGUAACACGUGGAUAACCUACCUAUAAGACUGGGAUAACUUCGGGAAACCGGAGCUAAUACCGGAUAAUAUUUUGAACCGCAUGGUUCAAAAGUGAAAGACGGUCUUGCUGUCACUUAUAGAUGGAUCCGCGCUGCAUUAGCUAGUUGGUAAGGUAACGGCUUACCAAGGCAACGAUGCAUAGCCGACCUGAGAGGGUGAUCGGCCACACUGGAACUGAGACACGGUCCAGACUCCUACGGGAGGCAGCAGUAUGGAAUCUUCCGCAAAGGGCGAAAGCCUGACGGAGCAACGCCGCGUGAGUGAUGAAGGUCUUCGGAUCGUAAAACUCUGUUAUUAGGGAAGAACAUAUGUGUAAGUAACUGUGCACAUCUUGACGGUACCUAAUCAGAAAGCCACGGCUAACUACGUG
Molecule: ribosomal RNA, 497 nt
Filed under: uncultured bacterium
Lineage: Bacteria
Description: partial 16S ribosomal RNA
Rfam family: Bacterial small subunit ribosomal RNA
Source: RNAcentral